AUCGGUGACAGGUGGUGCAUGGCUGUCGUCUAGCUCGUGUCGUGAGAUGUUGGGUUAAGUCCCGCAACGAGCGCAACCCUUAUCAUUAGUUGCUACGCAAGGGCACUCUAAUGAGACUGCCGGUGACAGACCGAGGAAGGUGGGGAUGACGUCAAGUCCUCAUGGCCCUUAUGGGUAGGGCUUCGCACGUCAUACAAUGGUCGGUACAGAGGGUUGCCAAGCCGCGAGGUGGAGCCAAUCCCAGAAAGCCGAUCGUAGUCCGGAUUGUUCUCUGCAACUCGAGAGCAUGAAGUCGGAAUCGCUAGUAAUCGUGAAUCAGAAUGUCACGGUCGAAUACGUUCCCGGGCCUU
Molecule: ribosomal RNA, 350 nt
Filed under: uncultured Thiobacillus sp.
Lineage: Bacteria; Pseudomonadati; Pseudomonadota; Betaproteobacteria; Nitrosomonadales; Thiobacillaceae
Description: bacterial SSU rRNA
Rfam family: Bacterial small subunit ribosomal RNA
Source: RNAcentral